Long non-coding RNA from Bufo gargarizans (Asiatic toad), 520 nucleotides. RefSeq lists it as uncharacterized. The record is from RefSeq and is a predicted model, not a curated record. The transcript is spliced from 3 exons. Lineage: Eukaryota; Metazoa; Chordata; Amphibia; Anura; Bufonidae.
CUAGCAUAACUUAAAAAUGCGAAAAAUUAACCCCUCAUGGCGUAGCUGGGGGCCUGAAAUAUGAAAGCUAACCAUGUCAACAUGUGGAGAAGAUGGACAAGCAUAGAAGAAAACUUGAGAGUCCACCAAUAUAGAAACAAAACAAGACAUUAGGAGAGGUCGUUUGCCACGAUUCAAACGAUGGCAUGGAUGGUAAAGAUGCGAUAUUCUGAGCGGUGCACCAAUCUGGAAUGUCCAGUUUAGAGAUGCCGAGAACUUCACAAACUCUAGGUCGCUGCGUAUGGGCUCCAGCGCUUCUGCUAGCAAUGACUUCAUAAAGCCUCUGGACAAAGGUAAGUCUGCUUGUGAUGAGAAGUCCUCUCUCUCACUAUCGUCUUCUGCUUCAGAAUCUCCGUCUGUACCAGCCGGGAUAGAGGCCUGUCUGGCGGCGGCCAUCUUGGGCUCAAAACGUGUCCCGGAUUUUUUUAUAAAUUUGUCCAAAUCACCUUGGCUCAGGGCCUGUUUCGACUUCCCUGGAGUC